GAAUCACUGAAAAACAAACUUAGUGUGGCCAAGAAACAAACUUAGUGUGAGAUUAAUAAAUUCCCAAACACCGAUUUUCAAAUGUAAGUUCUACUUAAAUGGCCUAUCCUCACAUGAAUAAACCUCAGUAACUUGUAUUACGGAAUAAUUUACAUCAAUUGAUAUCAGAAUCAGCUCCAUCUUGCAAGAUCCGACACUCUGAGUGAUGGCUCAUGGAAUGGUGGUCUAGACCCACUGUGUAAGGAUAGGCGGCCCGUGUGUAGGGUGUUAGCCACGUCUAAUGUGAUCAUGACCAACAUGGCCAUGACCAAUAAGGACAUUGGUUCUGCAAACAUGGAGUAUUGUUAUGAUAUUGUUACAAUCCUUCAUCAUUAAGGAACAACCUUGAUGAGAAGAUAAUAAAUCCCUAAGCACCCUCCCCUUGCAAAUCGAUUUUCAAGAAUGAGUUUUACUUAGGUGGCCUCCUUACUUAGUACAACCUUAGCGAUAGAGGGCCAGCUUGCAUUCUAAAUCCCUCUGACCUCAAAUACCAGCCGAAAUUAAAUUGAAUUUUUGCUUGAGACGAACCCAGUGACGAGUUUUAUUGAUUUUUGAGUGAUGCACUAGUUGAGCACAUCUAUCAACCAAGGGGAAGAGCAAAGAGUAAGAGAGGUUAUUAAUGGAGAAGCUACAACAACCAACUAGCAUGACUAACUGUACACAGAUACAAUUGAAGAUUGCUGUACACCCGAAAUUAUUUAUCAAUCCUGAGGUUAUUACAAAGAUGU
RNAcentral lists this unclassified non-coding RNA (767 nucleotides) under Hevea brasiliensis (rubber tree). The record is from RNAcentral. Lineage: Eukaryota; Viridiplantae; Streptophyta; Magnoliopsida; Malpighiales; Euphorbiaceae.